GCGAGUGAAGCGGCAACAGCUCAAAUUUGAAAUCUGGCGCAAGCCCGAGUUGUAAUUUGUAGAGGGUGCUUCUGGGUAGCGACCGAUCUAAGUUCCUUGGAACAGGACGUCAUAGAGGGUGAGAAUCCCGUAUGUGACCGGCCCGCACCCUUUACGUAGCUCCUUCGACGAGUCGAGUUGUUUGGGAAUGCAGCUCUAAAUGGGAGGUAAAUUUCUUCUAAAGCUAAAUACCGGCCAGAGACCGAUAGCGCACAAGUAGAGUGAUCGAAAGAUGAAAAGUACUUUGGAAAGAGAGUUAAAAAGCACGUGAAAUUGUUGAAAGGGAAGCGCCUGCAACCAGACUUCGCGGCAGUGUUCCGCCGGUCUUCUGACCGGUUCAUUCUCUGUCGCGAGGCCAUCAUCGUCUGGGCCCGCCGGAUAAGACCUGAGGAAUGUGGCUCCCCCUCGGGGGAGUGUUAUAGCCUCUGGUGAUGCGGCGUGGCUCGGGCGAGGUCCGCGCUUCGGCAAGGAUGAUGGCGUAAUGGUUGUCGGCGGCCCGUCUUGAAACACGGACCAAGGAGUCUAACAUCUAUGCGAGUGUUCGGGUGUCAAACCCCUACGCGUAAUGAAAGUGAACGGAGGUGGGAACCGCAAGGUGCACCAUCGACCGAUCCUGAUGUCCUUGGAUGGAUUUGAGUAAGAGCAUAGCUGUUGGGACCCGAAAGAUGGUGAACUAUGCCUGAAUAGGGCGAAGCCUGAGGAAACUCUGGUGGAGGCUCGCAGCGGUUCUGACGUGCAAAUACGAUCGUC
Molecule: ribosomal RNA, 789 nt
Filed under: Cercospora sp. Q JZG-2013
Lineage: Eukaryota; Fungi; Ascomycota; Dothideomycetes; Mycosphaerellales; Mycosphaerellaceae
Description: eukaryotic LSU rRNA
Rfam family: Eukaryotic large subunit ribosomal RNA
Source: RNAcentral